GUUGGAGGUUUCUUUUAUGUCAAGAGAAAUUUCGUCAUAAGAGUAAUUAGCGGCUUAUAUUCCACAUUAUCUUCGUUUAUUCAAAUUAGUGGCGUAUUGCAACGUGAAAACAAAUGUCUUGUCAAGUACAGAAACCACACAAGAGCUGCACAAAAUUCAAGUGUUAUAUUUUAAAAUAAGAUGUAAUAAUUGGCAUGCUGAUUGCAGUAUUUUCGGUGGCAUUUCUCGUCGGAUCUUUAAUGGUAUCAUGGGCAUUAUCAUAUUUUACUUCAAUUCUCUACGACAAUUUUAUGAACAUCGCGAAAUAUUACUCUUUUUCGCUUACAACUGAAUACAGGUUUAAAAUCAUUGGCUUUAUAAAGAGACUUGGAGGAAGACCAUUCGGAUUAUCAAUGUGGGGAUUUUUCUAUAUCAAGAGAAAUUUCUUGAUAAAAGCAAGUUUUAAUAAUUGCAAAAUAGCAGUUUCUGGUCUUAAUUGUAGUGCCGUUAUCAACACAAUGUAAUCGUAUCCGA
Molecule: long non-coding RNA, 513 nt
Organism: Centruroides sculpturatus (bark scorpion)
Lineage: Eukaryota; Metazoa; Arthropoda; Arachnida; Scorpiones; Buthidae
Exons: 5
Source: RefSeq, a predicted model, not a curated record